Molecule: ribosomal RNA, 497 nt
Filed under: uncultured bacterium
Lineage: Bacteria
Description: partial 16S ribosomal RNA
Rfam family: Bacterial small subunit ribosomal RNA
Source: RNAcentral
GAUGAACGCUGGCGGCGUGCCUAAUACAUGCAAGUCGAGCGAACAGAUGAGGAGCUUGCUCCUCUGACGUUAGCGGCGGACGGGUGAGUAACACGUGGAUAACCUACCUAUAAGACUGGGAUAACUUCGGGAAACCGGAGCUAAUACCGGAUAAUAUAUCGAACCGCAUGGUUCAAUAGUGAAAGACGGUUUUGCUGUCACUUAUAGAUGGAUCCGCGCCGCAUUAGCUAGUUGGUAAGGUAACGGCUUACCAAGGCAACGAUGCGUAGCCGACCUGAGAGGGUGAUCGGCCACACUGGAACUGAGACACGGUCCAGACUCCUACGGGAGGCAGCAGUAGGGAAUCUUCCGCAAAGGGCGAAAGCCUGACGGAGCAACGCCGCGUGAGUGAUGAAGGUCUUCGGAUCGUAAAACUCUGUUAUUAGGGAAGAACAAAUGUGUAAGUAACUAUGCACGUCUUGACGGUACCUAAUCAGAAAGCCACGGCUAACUACGUG